This 531-nucleotide ribosomal RNA is filed under the name uncultured bacterium. Its description in RNAcentral is "bacterial SSU rRNA". It matches the Rfam family "Bacterial small subunit ribosomal RNA", at positions 777 to 1308 of the family's 1533-position model. The record is from RNAcentral.
AAUAGAUACCCUGGUAGUCCACGCCGUAAACGUUGGGCACUAGGUGUGGGUCUCAACCAACGAGAUCCGCGCCGUCGCUAACGCAUUAAGUGCCCCGCCUGGGGAGUACGGUCGCAAGACUAAAACUCAAAGGAAUUGACGGGGGCCCGCACAAGCAGCGGAGCGUGUUGCUUAAUUCGAUGCAACGCGAAGAACCUUACCUGGGUUUGACAUGUACCGAAAAGCUCUAGAGAUAGGGUGUCCUUCGGGGCGGUACACAGGUGGUGCAUGGCUGUCGUCAGCCCGUGUCGUGAGAUGUUGGGUUAAGUCCCGCAACGAGCGCAACCCUUAUCCUAUGUUGCCAGUAAGUAAUGUUGGGGACUCGUAGGAGACUGCCGGGGUCAACUCGGAGGAAGGUGGGGAUGACGUCAAGUCAUCAUGCCCCUUAUGCCCAGGGCUGCGAACACGCUACAAUGGCCGGUACAGAGGGCUGCGAUCUCGCGAGAGUGAGCGAAUCCCACAAAGCCGGUCUCAGUUCGGAUUGGAGUCUGC